CAGUAAACGGCGGCCGUAACUAUAACGGUCCUAAGGUAGCGAAAUUCCUUGUCGGGUAAGUUCCGACCCGCACGAAAGGCGUAACGAUUUGGGCACUGUCUCAACGAGAGACUCGGUGAAAUCAUAGUACCUGUGAAGAUGCAGGUUACCCGCGACAGGACGGAAAGACCCCGUGGAGCUUUACUGUAGCCUGAUAUUGAAAUUCGGCACAGCUUGUACAGGAUAGGUAGGAGCCUUUGAAACGUGAGCGCUAG
Molecule: ribosomal RNA, 254 nt
Filed under: Staphylococcus aureus
Lineage: Bacteria; Bacillati; Bacillota; Bacilli; Caryophanales; Staphylococcaceae
Description: partial 23S ribosomal RNA
Rfam family: Bacterial large subunit ribosomal RNA
Source: RNAcentral